Microtus ochrogaster (prairie vole) is the source of this 345-nucleotide long non-coding RNA. RefSeq lists it as uncharacterized. Lineage: Eukaryota; Metazoa; Chordata; Mammalia; Rodentia; Cricetidae. The transcript is spliced from 3 exons. The record is from RefSeq and is a predicted model, not a curated record.
CACCAGGGGCUGCUGUUGAACUUCUGAAAAAUAUCAUCCCUUGGAGAAGAAGGGAAGAAGUCCUACCACGAUGGUGAAGGCAUGGCGGCUGGGGUGUUCUGGUCUGGGGUGGUCUGUACUUCAGACCUUGUCAGACCAGGAAGCUGGGAAAACUAGGAUUGGAACUAGAAGAGGAAGCCAGCUUCCGAGCUUGUCCCUAGCAGCCUACUUCAGGGAAGAUACUAGGUCCUGGCUUUCUUUAAAACAGCUGCCUCUGAAUCCUCACAAAGGCUCUGUGUCAUCAGACUGCGUUUCAUCUAUCACGAAAACAAAUACGUCUGCUGAAAAAAAUGGCAGAACGAAUUA